UUGGCCAAACGUACGUUCUGGUGUGCACGUUUCUAAUCUUGUAUUCAAUUGUUUGUGGAAUUGUGACGAGGCGAUAGCACUUAUAUGAAGCAAAACACAGGUAUAUUUAUUUCAAGUUUAUGAAACCUAGCACAACGAUUGGUUAAAUUACGAAAUAUUUGCCGUGAACCGUUGCAUAAACCUAAUAUGAUGCGUUUUUAUGUAUUGAUGCUUCGUGAAGUAGCUUUUACUGGCACUGUACAUUAGCAGGCUAUUGCUGUAUGUAAUUACAAGAAGUUUUGUUCGUAUCUUUUAUGAUUACGUUCAAUUUACUGAAUUCAUUUUAGAAUUAAAUGAAAUAAAGGAGUUAAAUUUCAACAUUAAAGUGCAUUAUGUAAUAAUUAAAUUGUUGAUGAAGCGCUACCCGAAGGAUGCAUUUAAAUAUCUUUUUUUGACUGGAUGCAGUGUGUUGCUGUUGCUAAAAGAUUUUACGACAAGGAAAUGGUAAGUAACCAGAAAUAAUUUAUUUAUUUAGUAAAACCAGAAAAAAGAAAUACAAGCAGUUACAGCAUUAUAUUCUUAUUAAAUAUUUUCCCAACAAAUGGGAAAGAACUGAAGUUACCUUUGGUGCUAGUGAAAUAACAAAUCUAUAUAAAAGGUGUCUUUUUUUCCUGGACUCGAUUGGCUGAUCUUCACUUUGCACCAUUGUACAUUUAAUUUUCAACCGAUGAAUGAGCAACUGGAAAUUUAUUUGGACCCCACUGAAACAACAAAUUUCUGCUGUGGUGUAAACUUUAGAAUGUCAUAUUCUGCAUUUAAUUAAGAUCUAGAAUGGAGAAGACAAAGAAGCCCACGUAGUUCU
This is a long non-coding RNA of Agrilus planipennis (emerald ash borer), 841 nucleotides long. RefSeq lists it as uncharacterized. The transcript has 3 exons. The record is from RefSeq and is a predicted model, not a curated record. NCBI's taxonomy places the organism in Eukaryota, Metazoa, Arthropoda, Insecta, Coleoptera, Buprestidae.